Molecule: ribosomal RNA, 301 nt
Filed under: uncultured bacterium
Lineage: Bacteria
Description: partial 16S ribosomal RNA
Rfam family: Bacterial small subunit ribosomal RNA
Source: RNAcentral
CAGUAGCCGCGGUAAAACGGAGGGUGCAAGCGUUAAUCGGAAUUACUGGGCGUAAAGCGCACGCAGGCGGUUUGUUAAGUCAGAUGUGAAAUCCCCGAGCUUAACUUGGGAACUGCAUUUGAAACUGGCAAGCUAGAGUCUUGUAGAGGGGGGUAGAAUUCCAGGUGUAGCGGUGAAAUGCGUAGAGAUCUGGAGGAAUACCGGUGGCGAAGGCGGCCCCCUGGACAAAGACUGACGCUCAGGUGCGAAAGCGUGGGGAGCAAACAGGAUUAGAUACCCCAGUAGUCCCUGUCUCUUAUAA